AUCCAGCUGACGAGUCCCAAAUUGGACUUGACGCGCGUCUUGGGU
This 45-nucleotide non-coding RNA is filed under the name Schistosoma mansoni. Lineage: Eukaryota; Metazoa; Platyhelminthes; Trematoda; Strigeidida; Schistosomatidae. The record is from RNAcentral.